UAAGCUGUAAGAGAAACAAACUCCUUUGGGCAUUUUUAACAUUACCUCAGCAGAGGAAGAAAUGUCACAUGGUCCUAUACCGCACUGUCCUCAAAGGGAAUGUAUGCCUGGCCCCAAACAUAGCUUCCUCCUUAGCAGGACACAAACAAAGCAGCUAAAGAUGGAGGUUAAGGCCAGUCGACUGCUUCCAGGUUUGGGAACUGGAAGUCAGAAAUCAGGAGUUCGAGACCAGCCUGGUGAAGCCCCAUCUUUACCAAAAAAAAAAAAAAAAAGAAAGAAAGAAAAUACCAAAAAUGAGCCAAUGUCUACAGGGCUUCGCUCCCUCUAGAGGCUUCAGGGGAGGACACUUCCUUGACUCUUCCAGCUCCUGGUGGCUUCCAUGUUCCCUGGCUUGUGACUGCAGAGUUCCAACCUCUGCCUCCGUCUUUGCCGGGCCUUCUCCUCUUCUCCCACGGAGGCAGAGAAGCGUGUCCUCUCCUCUUCAGUCUCUUACAGGGACACUUGUCAUUGGAUUUAGGAUCCACCUGGAUAUUCCAGAAUGGUCUCAUCUUGAGAUCCUUAACUUUAAAGCACCUGCAAAGACUCUUUAACAAAGAAGUUACAUUUGCAAGUUCUGGAACAUGCUCAUAUCUUUUUGGAGGCCACUACUAAACCCCCUACAAUUCUCUUUACAUAAUUUCCCAAAACUGUUUCCCAAAAAGUUGCCAGCAGUAACCAAAUUCCAGAAGUGAAAGCAUGACCCUGGCCCAUGGUGACAAACCCGCUUUCUACCAAGUUGAUCACCACCUAACUGUUGAUUCUAGCCCUUCUAAUCUUUAGCCUGUGGUAGCAAGCCAGGUACAAUUUGGCAUUAAGAUCUAAGAAUGGCCAAAGUCUCUCAUUGCACGCAGUGCUACCCUGAUGCAGUGGAAACUACACUAAACAAGCUCCGUGGGAUCCUUGGGCCUUCUCCCGUCUCCAUGACUCAUUGGCUGGGAGACUUUGGAAAAUUUUCUCUGCUUCUGUGAACUUCAGUCUCCCUAUCUAUAAAAUGAAGACUAGAUUAGAACAGGGGUUGAUAUGCUAUAGCUUUUUUUUUUUUUUGGAGAUGGAGUCUCGCUCUGUCACCCAGGCUAGAGUGCAAAUAGCACAAUCUCGGCUCACUAGAACCUCCACCUCCCGGGUUCAAGUGAUUCUCCUGCCUCAGCCUCCUGAGUAGCUGAGAUUGCAGAUGCCUGCCACCACACCCGGCUAAUUUUUGUAUUUUUAAUAGAGAUGGGUUUUCACCAUGUUGGCCAGGCUGGUCUUGAACUCCUGACCUCAGGUGAUCCACCUGCCUCGGCCUCCCAAAGUGCUGGGAUUACAGGCGUGAGCCACUGUGCCUGGCCAGCCUGCUUUUUUAAAUAAAGUUUUAUUGGAACCCAGCCUUGUCCAUUUAUUUACAGAUCGUGUAUGGGGGCUGUCAUGCUGCAAGAGCAAAGCGGUUGCAACAGAGACAGAAUGACUCAGAAAAUGGAGAAUAUUUGCUGGCUAGCCCUUUACAGAAAAAGCUUGCCACCCCCUAGACAAGUACAGAGCUCUGUAAAGGGCCCUUCUAGCUGGGUUAUUUUGUGUUACUAUGGACCAGUUCCUCAUUUGAGCCCUGCCUAAAAUCUGAUGGUGGCCUGAGGAGCUGGCUAUGGAGAGGGAGCAGGACUGAAAAAAAGGCUCCAUCAGCCUCACAGUACCAGCAUUGCCCCUCCCCGGACAUCCUUGUGUGCACCGUGCUUCCGCAUUGCCUGCGCUCCCAGAAUUUAGCUCCCCCAGAUCUUCCACCCUGUUCUCCCCUUGGGGCUUGCCCCCUGCAACGGGCAGGAAAUGCAGACAGCCAGGGGACUUGUGGGUCCCUUUAAGGCCUUGAGACCUGGGGAAAUCCCCCAGUUCUCAGCCACCUAAGGACAACUCAUUCUCCCAGUCUAAGGGCCGAGUCAUUCUCACUUUGCUUCUAUCACUGUCCAGAUUCCAGCAAAAUACACCCUUCCACAGUCAAACCUCUACCUCCUUCAUUCUCCUCUCUUAUUUGUUAAACAAAUCCUGAUCUGCCUUUUUAGGCUGCUCUUGAAUUUUAUGGCAACAUAUAAUAAACAUCUGACUGCUUUUAUUUCUAUUUAACUUUUAUCUUGAAUGUCUCUGCUGUUUCAAACCAAAUAUUUACAGCAUCACACAGCCGCUGCAAUUUCAUUCCUCACCAAUACUGUCACUCCCUCCUGCUUGCACUCACCAGCCCCGUAGAGAGGCCGGGAAUGUUGGGGCGAAUGGUCUCUUGUGCCCCCACAGCAGGGCUUCCAGACUGGAUCUCUGAGUCACUGGACUCCCGGGAGAGCAGAUGGCUUUCCUGGCAGCCUGGCCCUCAGCUCGGAGUCAGGCCAUCUCUGGUGACUGAAGGGCUUUCUGUACUUGGUGUCUUCACACAUCGGUACUAGGUUGGGUCUGGCUGUGAGAAAGACCCUCGCAUGCUCCAUUAAGGAGCAAACCUGGGGAAUUCGAGCACCUCUGUCUUCUCAAAGGCCUCUCUUUUUCUCAGUACCCUCAGGUUUGGCCCAAGGCCUCGGAGUGCAGCUCCUUGGUCCACCUGUGCUUGUCCCUGCUUUUCUGGCCCACCAAAAAGUGCUCCUGACAGCCCUAACCACCUACUCUUCACCAAGGCUCUCUGGUCCUGUGUGGUCCAAAAGGCCGACUGCAGAUGCUCUUUUGAGUCCAGGGCCCUAAAGAAAGCAGUCCUACCUGGUGGGGGAUGACACUCUGGACCUGGAGUCUGAAGACCUCGUUUUCUGUCUCUGAGCUUCAGUUUUCUCAUCUAUGAAAUGGGAAUCAUAACACACGCUUGAUGUGACUCUCAGGGCUGCCCUAAGGAUACUGAAAAAUGGCGAAUGACGGCGUGCUUUGUACACAGUGGGUCGUCCAAGGGGAGCCAGAGAGUGCCUCUUUCUGGCAUGCCUGAGCCUCCGGAGCUGGAGAAGCCUCCUUUGGUCUCCUAGACUGCCUUUUCUCCUCCCAUCUGUCUCAACCUGCACAAAUCCUGCCGGGCUCUGCACAUUGCUCUGUGUUGACGGAUCCACCAUAUUAGCCUUGCCUGGCCCUUUCCUUCGUCCUUAGAAGACUCAUGACUCCAGCUGAGCUUAUGGGUGAACUCUUUCACAGCAGAAACUGCUUUGCCCUUCCUUCCCCAUGGGCCUUGUACCUGGUCAAGCCUGCAUCUUUCAGCUCUCUGGUCAUCCAGAGGGAAGUCUCACAUGAGUCUUGGUGAGAAUCUUCAACUUGGCCGUGCAAGUUUUCUGAUACUUUCAAUCCAGUUCAAGAUAAGAUACAUACAGCAGUCACACACCCUGAAUCUCAGAUUCUCAGAGAGUCGCCACUUGAUUUAGGAUCUGACACCAUGGGUAGAUAUUGGAAUUCCAGUCUUAGCCUGCAAGUCACACAAUGUCUUUGAGCUUCAGCUUCCAAGCCUGCAAGAUGGGGCGAUAAGAGUUUACCUCCUGGGAGUUAAGAGGAUUAAAUAAGUUAACAGUUAAGUAAAAGUACUCUGAAAUGUUAGCUUUUAUUUUCAUCCUUCCCUCCUUGUGUAAGAAAAUAAUGUAAAUAGCCUUUAUUGCUCUUAGUUUUUCUUGUAAAAGCUGUGGGAAGGUGAAAUAACCUCAUUGAAAUAGAGCCAUUCAUAAGUAGGGUAGAUCAUUAACCGCUAUGAGAUAGAUGAUUAUAUUCCAUCAGGUUCCAAGCCGACAGCACCCAUUUUACAGUUUGGAACUGUGAAGUAUUUGUACUGUGUGAUCCACAGCUCUUAAACUUUCCAAGACUUAGUCAGUCCUUAGGUUCCAGACAAACUUUCAUCCCACCUACACCCCCAACCUACUCUCAUCAGGGUUCCCAAUGACUGCCAUAUUGCCAAAUCUAAUGAUCACUUCUCUGCCUGUAUCUUACUCCGUCUCUCAACAGUAUUUGAAAGAAUUGAUGAUGCCCUCCUUAAAGCUCAUUCUCAUGUGGCUUAGAGGACAGACCUAGCCUCCUACACCACUGGUCAAUCCUGAACUUCCUUUGCUGCUUCUUCCUUUUUCUCCUACCAACCUUUUAUUUUUGUUUUAAUUUAAUUUACUUUUUUUUUUUUAAGAGGCAGGGUCUCACUCUGUCACCCAGGCUGAAGUGCAGUGGGGUGAUCACGGCUCGCUGCAGCCUCGAACUCCUGGGCUCAAGCAAUCAUAUUGCCUCAUCCUCCUGAGUAGCUGGGACUAUAGCAACAUACCACCAUGUUUGACUGUUUUUUUAAUUUUUAUUUUAGUGGAGAUGGGGUCUUGCUAUGUUGCCUAUGUUGGUCUCAAGCUUCUGGCCUCAAGUGAUCCUCCUGCCUCAGCCUCCCAAAGUCCUAGGAUUAUAGUAUGGACAACUGAACCUAGCCUCUUCCCAACCUCUUAAUACUACAGGGCCACAGGGCACUCUUGUCUUUUCUUCUUCUAUAUGCAUAUUCUAAGUCACCUCAUAUCACUCCAUAAUGUUCAUGUACUGGCUACUUGCAAAUUUCCUGCCCAACUUCAAGCUUUCUUCUAAAUAUCAGAUCCUGAUGACCGACUACCUCUUUGGACAUCUCUUAGGCAUCUGAGCCUUGCCAUAUAUAAAACCUAACUCUUGUUUUCUUUUCUCAAACCUGAUCUUUCCUCAGUCUUCCCCAUCUUAGCAAAUGAUCCUUGAUGUGGGCUUAGGGGAAAAAGAAGAACCAAGGAUGAUCAAAGCUUUUAGCCUGAGCAACCUAGAAUGUUCACAUGUGAUGCUCUUUUCCUAGGCCCUGUCAUUACCCCCCAUUAGAUGAAGGUGCAAAUGUGGAUAUGCAUACACAGAGGAACAUAGACUGUAUAUAGAUUUGUUAUUAUCCCUCCAUCUCCCCUACAAGGAAGUGAACUCCCUGAGAGCAGGACAUUUAUGUCAGGUCCUGAGAAACCACAGUGAACAAAAUGGACUGGCACAUAGUAAGAGCUCCUCAAAUAUGCCUUGAAUGACUCCCUGACCUUGUAGAACAAAAAUGCUUCCUGGGUCUACAGAAUGAGAAUAGGCCACAAGAGAAGCGGGAAUGAAACUUGGAAACUCAAGCAUGAGUGCAUUUUUAAGACGAGAGUGCAUUUUUAAGACACAUCUCUGGGCUGAGGCAACGCAUUUACACACAUGUACUGUUUUUACUGAAUUCUGAACCAGAGAGCUAGAUGGAUAGAUGAUAGAUAAUUAAAUUGGUUCCAAUGACAGAGAGCUAAAUGGAUGUUUGUUUUUAUCAUGCCAAAUGAUCAUGCUUAUUUUCUGAAAUUUUCACUUCACAACUGCUUGUUUUGGUGUCAGGUAGAUACAUUUAAGUUAUCAAAACUUGCCUGGGAGGAGUGAGAAAAGAGUGUGCUUCUUGUCUCUGCUAUCAGCAAAUAUAAGCCCACCAGGUGACAAGUCCCUGCCAAGUUCCAGGACAGCAUGGGGAGCUGUGUAUGAUGCACUCAUGGAGUCUAAAAUCAGGUGGGCAUCCAGGUUGGAAAGAAAGAAGUAGAACUGUCUUUAUUCAACAGAUGAUAAGAUCACUGAUAUAGUAAAUCUGAUGAAAUCAACAAAAAGCUAAUAGAACUAAUAGGUAAAUUUUGCAAGAAUGCAGAACACAAGACUGACAUAAAAAAAGAAUUGCAUUUCUAUAUAUUAGCAAUGAACAAUCAAAACUCAUUAUUUUAAACAUAUCUUCCACAAUAGCAUCAAAAACAUAAAAUACUUAGGAGUAAAUCUGACAAAAGAUGUGAAAGACAUGCACACGGACAACAAAAUAUUGUGAGAUACGUGAAAGGAGCCCUGAAUAAAUGGAAAUAUACAGACCUUGUUCACAGGUUGAAAAACUCAAUGUUAAUAAGAUGUAAAUUCUCCCAAGUUGAUUUAAUCCUAUCUCAAUCAAAAUCUUAGCAUGCUAUGUGUAG
RNAcentral lists this long non-coding RNA (5942 nucleotides) under Homo sapiens (human). Its description in RNAcentral is "HSALNT0258291". The record is from RNAcentral. Lineage: Eukaryota; Metazoa; Chordata; Mammalia; Primates; Hominidae.